UGGGGCACCUCGGGGUGGCCGGACGUGGCCUGAGAUGCGCAGGACGAUGCGCGAACCCGUUGAACCUGAACCGGUUAGGACCGGCGGAGGGAAGGUUUCGGGACGUGCC
RNAcentral lists this non-coding RNA (109 nucleotides) under Paracoccaceae bacterium. RNAcentral describes it as "Rhodobacteraceae bacterium TPP sequence". It matches the Rfam family "TPP riboswitch aptamer (THI element)". Rfam says of the family: Vitamin B(1) in its active form thiamin pyrophosphate (TPP) is an essential coenzyme that is synthesised by coupling of pyrimidine and thiazole moieties in bacteria. The previously detected thiamin-regulatory element, thi box was extended, resulting in a new, highly conserved RNA secondary structure, the THI element, which is widely distributed in eubacteria and also occurs in some archaea. Analysis of operon structures identified a large number of new candidate thiamin-regulated genes, mostly transporters, in various prokaryotic organisms. The record is from RNAcentral. Lineage: Bacteria; Pseudomonadati; Pseudomonadota; Alphaproteobacteria; Rhodobacterales; Paracoccaceae.